UGACCUCAAAUGAUCUGCCUGCCUUGGCCUCCCAAAAUGCAGGGAUUACAGGCAUGAGCCACUUCGCCUAGCCAAGGUAAGAUUUUCAAAAACCUUUAGAACCCUUUACAGUUUUCUGUUAAACAGCAGAUCAGUUUUCUAAGAAAACCCUAUUAUUUGGCCAUAUGGGCCCAAAUUCUGGCCCUGUGUUAGUGUGCUUUCAUUUUAAUGUUCAACCUGAGAAAAAAAUAUAUAUAAUCCUUUUCAAAUCUUAGACAACUUGAUAAUACGCACAGAACGUUCUUUACAAGACCAACCCUUCACAAACCCCUUUCACCUUGCUUAAACCUUGUUUUUUCCCGUUACUAUUUUAGGUUAAGACAAUCUUUAAAUUCCUCUGAAGUAGACAAAAUUAUACUCCUUUUAACAAAAGCCAUAGUCCUAUGCCUUCAUAUAAUCUUUUACCAAAAACACAUUCUACAUUCCUUACACAACCAUGUAUGUAAAACUCUUUCUCCAGUAGUCUCAAUUCCAUGUUACAGUGUUAACUCAUAGUAACUUUCAUUUUUGGUGAAAAUCUGAUAAGUAAGUGAUGUUAAUUAUGUACUAGGUGUGGAACCUAGGACAUCAGACAGAAGUGUAAAUAAUGUUUGACUCUCUUCAGCAUAGCUGGGGGCAAGGCUCUCCAUAUGUCCCUAGGCUUUAUCUAUAAUUUAAUGCUCUAAAGUAGAUAAAUUGAAUAAUUUCAAAGUCAAAAAAAAAAAAAAAGUUUAUGACCUUAUAACAUUUAGCAAAUCUGAUACCUGAUCUUAAUUUAGACCAAAUGUCUAAAUUUUGAAGACAUUUUAAAUAUACCAGUAAUUUUUAAAACUGUCUUUAUUUCCAGAAAAAUACUAAAGUCAUGUGAACAAAAGGCAUUAAAGUUGCUGUUUUUUCUAACAAAAUAUUUAAGUGCUUAUUUUUCUAAUCCAAUUAUUCAGAGCUCUUUUUAUAUAAAAAUCACAUUCACAACACAUACAAAUUCACAGACAGACAGAAGAUCCAGAAGUUGUAAGAUUUUUUGUUUGCUAGUUUCUUAAUUGGAUUACUGGCUUCAGUGUGGGAGCCCUUUGAGGAACAGGGCCAGGAAAACAUGCAGUUUCUAGGAUCUAAUAAUCAGUCACAGCUGGAAGGCAAAGACAGUUCCCCAAAAUUAAGGUUCACAUUUUUAUUUAAGAU
Molecule: long non-coding RNA, 1197 nt
Organism: Sapajus apella (tufted capuchin)
Lineage: Eukaryota; Metazoa; Chordata; Mammalia; Primates; Cebidae
Exons: 3
Source: RefSeq, a predicted model, not a curated record